GCCCCGGCGGUGUAGCCCGGUCAAUCAUGCGGGACUUUCGAUCCCGCGACCCGGGUUCAAAUCCCGGCCGGGGCACCA
Molecule: transfer RNA, 78 nt
Filed under: Methanopyrus kandleri
Lineage: Archaea; Methanobacteriati; Methanobacteriota; Methanopyri; Methanopyrales; Methanopyraceae
Also listed under: 4 other names
Description: tRNA-Glu
Rfam family: tRNA
About the family: Transfer RNA (tRNA) molecules are approximately 80 nucleotides in length. Their secondary structure includes four short double-helical elements and three loops (D, anti-codon, and T loops).
Source: RNAcentral